UUUAACUGAGCGUUCAGUUACUUGACGUAGACCCGAAACCGGGCGACCUACCCAUGAGCAGGAUGAAGCGAAAGUAAAAUUUCGUGGAGGUCCGAACCCACGAGCGUUGAAAAGCUCGGGGAUGACUUGUGGGUAGCGGUGAAAUUCCAAUCGAGCCCGGAGAUAGCUGGUUCUCCCCGAAAUAGCUUUAGGGCUAGCCUCAAGGUGAGAGAUACGGAGGUAGAGCACUGAAUGUCCUAGGGGGUAUUGCACCUACCGAAGACUAUCAAACUCCGAAUGCCGUCAUCUUAUACUUGGGAGUCAGACUGUGGGUGAUAAGAUUCAUAGUCGAAAGGGCAACAGCCCAGAUCGUCAGCUAAGGUCCCUAAAUGUAAGUUAAGUGGUAAAGGAUGUGGGAUUGCACAGACAACCAGGAUGUUGGCUUAGAAGCAGCCACUCAUUCAAAGAGUGCGUAAUAGCUCACUGGUCGAGUGAUCCUGCGCCGAAGAUUUCCGGGGCUAAAACUUACUACCGAAGCUACGGCAUCAGUAAUGAUGGGUAGGGGAGCUUCCCAUACGGGUUGAAGCAUGACCGUAAGGACAUGUGGACAGUAUGGGAGUGAGAAUGUUGGCAUGAGUAGCGAGAUGUGGGUGAGAAUCCCACAGGCCGUAAACCCAAGGUUUCCAGGGGAAGGUUCGUCCGCCCUGGGUUAGUCGGGACCUAAGCUGAGGCCGAAAGGCGUAGGUGAUGGACAACAGGUUGAUAUUCCUGUACUACCGAUAACCGUUUGAGAGAAGGGAUGAC
RNAcentral lists this ribosomal RNA (783 nucleotides) under Clostridioides difficile. Its description in RNAcentral is "partial 23S ribosomal RNA". It matches the Rfam family "Bacterial large subunit ribosomal RNA", at positions 683 to 1473 of the family's 2925-position model. Lineage: Bacteria; Bacillati; Bacillota; Clostridia; Peptostreptococcales; Peptostreptococcaceae. The record is from RNAcentral.